Molecule: ribosomal RNA, 586 nt
Filed under: Trichoderma koningiopsis
Lineage: Eukaryota; Fungi; Ascomycota; Sordariomycetes; Hypocreales; Hypocreaceae
Description: eukaryotic LSU rRNA
Rfam family: 5.8S ribosomal RNA (bases 206-359)
Source: RNAcentral
GAACCUGCGGAGGGAUCAUUACCGAGUUUACAACUCCCAAACCCAAUGUGAACCAUACCAAACUGUUGCCUCGGCGGGGUCACGCCCCGGGUGCGUCGCAGCCCCGGAACCAGGCGCCCGCCGGAGGGACCAACCAAACUCUUUCUGUAGUCCCCUCGCGGACGUUAUUUCUUACAGCUCUGAGCAAAAAUUCAAAAUGAAUCAAAACUUUCAACAACGGAUCUCUUGGUUCUGGCAUCGAUGAAGAACGCAGCGAAAUGCGAUAAGUAAUGUGAAUUGCAGAAUUCAGUGAAUCAUCGAAUCUUUGAACGCACAUUGCGCCCGCCAGUAUUCUGGCGGGCAUGCCUGUCCGAGCGUCAUUUCAACCCUCGAACCCCUCCGGGGGGUCGGCGUUGGGGAUCGGGAACCCCUAAGACGGGAUCCCGGCCCCGAAAUACAGUGGCGGUCUCGCCGCAGCCUCUCCUGCGCAGUAGUUUGCACAACUCGCACCGGGAGCGCGGCGCGUCCACGUCCGUAAAACACCCAACUUCUGAAAUGUUGACCUCGGAUCAGGUAGGAAUACCCGCUGAACUUAAGCAUAUCAAUA